Musa acuminata AAA Group (dessert banana) is the source of this 2190-nucleotide RNA transcript. RefSeq lists it as uncharacterized. Lineage: Eukaryota; Viridiplantae; Streptophyta; Magnoliopsida; Zingiberales; Musaceae. The record is from RefSeq and is a predicted model, not a curated record. The transcript has 9 exons.
UUAUUUCAGAGGGAGAGAGAGAGUCAUCCAAUUCCCAAACGUGAGCUCGAGAAAUCGUCUGCUUGUUGGAGAAAUUAUCAUCCAAAUCUCUGGUCGCUUUGCGCAUGGAUGAUUCUUCCGAUCAAGAAAAGGACGUCAAUUCCUCGUCGUAUCAUCAAGAAUGGAGGGACGAUCUUUUGGCACGCAGAGCGCAGGAAUCGCUUAAGAAAAAACUGGUUCUUGAAGAUGAUUUCGCGUGGGGAGUGCCCUCGCAAGGUUUGGCAUCCGGGGAUGGGUCAACGAGGGAGAAGCUCAAGUACAUCGGAGGAGUUGAUAUAAGCUUCUUAAAGAAGGAUCCUUCGGUGUCGUGCGGUGCUCUUGUGGUGCUGGAUGCUGAUACUAUGGACGUUGUGCACGAAGAGUUUGAGGUUACCCGUCUGCAGGUUCCGUAUGUUCCUGGCUUUCUUGCAUUCAGAGAGGCUCCAAUGCUUCUGGGGCUUCUGAACAAAAUGAAAGCAAAUGCUCAUCCUUUCUAUCCUCAGUUACUGAUGGUUGAUGGCAAUGGAUUGCUUCAUCCUCGAGGUCUUGGUCUAGCUUGUCAUCUUGGGAUCCUGGCUAAUCUUCCAACUAUUGGAAUCGGGAAAAAUUUGCAUCAUGUUGACGGACUAACUCAGUCUGCGGUGCGACAAAGUUUAGAAGCAAGAGAAAACUAUGACAAGGAUCUGAUCUUCUUAACUGGAAAGUCUGGGAAAACUUGGGGAGUGGCAAUGCGAUCCAUUCUUGGGUCAUCAAAACCUAUUUAUGUGUCAAUUGGUCAUCGGAUAUCACUUGAUUCUGCCAUUAGCAUCGUCAAAACAUGCUGCAAAUAUCGCAUUCCUGAGCCAAUUCGACAGGCUGAUAUAAGAUCCAAGAUGUUCCUUCAGAAGUUCAAAGGACUGUAGACCUUGGUAUGAUGAUCUUCUCUUCUAUUUUGUUUUUUCUUUGUUUUCCUUUUCUGAGAUUUUCAGAUGUGGAAAAUAAUAAAAUUAACACAUUUGUGGGGCUUUUAUAGAUCACCUGUUGUUUAGUUCUGCUCUUUAAAGUUGCUAGCUAGUUUAAACUUCCAAACUGUGAUAUGCAUAUUAUGUUAUAUCUUCAUCCUUCUGUGUUAGUGGUCAUCUGUUGAUCUUUCUUAUUUGUUAUUUCAUUAUGAUUAACCAAUAUCUGUAUUGUUCGGUGUUAAUUAUUACCUUACGACACGCACCACUAAAUCAGCCAUAAGAUAGAGAACUUAUUUAUGAUACACACAUAUCUGUUCCUGUAACUAAAAUAGAUAGAAUGUCUCUAUUCUUGGACUUUUUGAGUGGUUCUCUUUGGGUUUAUGAUGUAAUUAGUAUCAACUAUCUAGAUUCUAUAAUUCUCCAGCUUGUUACCACUAAAUAGGGAAAAGUCUGCUUUUUCUUCUUUGUAUGUCCUUACCAGUUUAUCAGAUUAUGCAUAGAUGUAUAAGAAAUGUAAUUUUACUGAUUAAACAUGAUAAUUUGCUUCACCUUUGUAAAUCGAAUAAACAAAUGAUGAGUCGAACCUGCAAAAGGUGCUUGGAACCCGUCGAGAGGAUACUUAUCGCAAAUUUAUGGAUGAAUUAUCGGAUUUAACAGAAUAGAACAUGUGCAACAGUGCAAGUACAUUCUAGAUUCUCAACCUUAUGCAAAUCUUCAGGCUCCUCUCUUAUUACUAAGUCUAUUGUACAUGAUUGACCAUAGUAAAAACAGAUGCUGCUCCUCCUCGGAUUCUUGGUCAUAAGUUGGACACCAAGGCCAUCUAUCUAUCAGAGGCAUCAAGAGGGCAUGAAGACCUACCUACGCUUAGAAAGAACUCUUUCCAACAUGAAGGCUUAGCUCAAUUGGACCUUUUCUUGUUCGACAACGACGAUGCGAUGAUUUUUUUUAUGUGAAGGCAUAGCUCAAAGGUAACUUUUAAGAUGAAUUUUCAGUUUGGAGGAUAAGCUCAAAUGAAAAUACAUGGCAAUCAAGGGAAACUCCCAUCAAUCAAAGCUGAGUCAGUUGCUGCUGUUCAUGAUCAUAUUAGCAGGUUGUCAAUGUUCUUUUUUAGCACUGUGAGCAGUCAUUUUUGUUGUUAUUAUUAGUAUCACCAUAAAUGCAAAGAUGAGGAUGAAAAAGAGACAUCUUUGGUUCAAACAAUUAAAUAUAUUUUCAACAACAUUUUUCUCAA